This 688-nucleotide ribosomal RNA is filed under the name Lacticaseibacillus paracasei. Its description in RNAcentral is "bacterial SSU rRNA". It matches the Rfam family "Bacterial small subunit ribosomal RNA", at positions 758 to 1445 of the family's 1533-position model. The record is from RNAcentral. Lineage: Bacteria; Bacillati; Bacillota; Bacilli; Lactobacillales; Lactobacillaceae.
AGCAUGGGUAGCGAACAGGAUUAGAUACCCUGGUAGUCCAUGCCGUAAACGAUGAAUGCUAGGUGUUGGAGGGUUUCCGCCCUUCAGUGCCGCAGCUAACGCAUUAAGCAUUCCGCCUGGGGAGUACGACCGCAAGGUUGAAACUCAAAGGAAUUGACGGGGGCCCGCACAAGCGGUGGAGCAUGUGGUUUAAUUCGAAGCAACGCGAAGAACCUUACCAGGUCUUGACAUCUUUUGAUCACCUGAGAGAUCAGGUUUCCCCUUCGGGGGCAAAAUGACAGGUGGUGCAUGGUUGUCGUCAGCUCGUGUCGUGAGAUGUUGGGUUAAGUCCCGCAACGAGCGCAACCCUUAUGACUAGUUGCCAGCAUUUAGUUGGGCACUCUAGUAAGACUGCCGGUGACAAACCGGAGGAAGGUGGGGAUGACGUCAAAUCAUCAUGCCCCUUAUGACCUGGGCUACACACGUGCUACAAUGGAUGGUACAACGAGUUGCGAGACCGCGAGGUCAAGCUAAUCUCUUAAAGCCAUUCUCAGUUCGGACUGUAGGCUGCAACUCGCCUACACGAAGUCGGAAUCGCUAGUAAUCGCGGAUCAGCACGCCGCGGUGAAUACGUUCCCGGGCCUUGUACACACCGCCCGUCACACCAUGAGAGUUUGUAACACCCGAAGCCGGUGGCGUAACCCUUUAG